AUAGGAGCAUGAAAAAUCAAACAGUUUUAUUUCACUUUUGGCUCCAAGUGAAGAAAUUAAGAACAUAUCUAAAAUAUAGGGGUAUCGACUAUUAAUUCAUAAUCAGAUUAAUAUUACUCCUUUGAAUUUAGGAGUCACUGAAAAUUCUUUUACACUAGCAUCUAAUUAUUUGCCAUUAUUAAAAGUCAUAAGAUGUGUAUCUGGGUCAUUGCUCAGUUGAGGGAGUUAUGGCUUUUAAUAAAACAUAUUUUGCUGUAUGUUACUGAAAGAAAGCCAGAAGGACAGGUAAUUUAUAUGAAAUGUGCUGUGUUCACUCCCUCCUUCCUGCAUCCGCCAGGAAGUACCAGCCAUAUUAUAUUAUAAGUACCAUUAUAUUUUUACACACAGGGGCCGUGGCUGUCUCUCCUCUCGCUCUCACACUUUCAGUCUGCUCUCUGUUUUGCUUAAGUUUGUUAAGAUGAGACCCAGGCAGUCCCUUGUUUUUGCAGUUACAAACUAACUUGACUUCCAGAUACAGACAGAUGCUGUGGAUAGGUUUUAUGGAGAGAGGUUAGUUUAGUUUUGUGGGUGUUCUCUUGGGGAGUUUGUAUUUACUUCUGAAGCCAGUGGGGAAGUAAGCUUUCUUUGUGGUCCUGGGAGAACAGGCUGUCAGCUUCUAUGCGUCAGCAGUCGAGCUGGGAAAGACUCCACUCUGUUGCUGUGCAGACAGGUCACCAAGUGACCGGGGCGGCUCCUUCCCUAUGCUGGAUGAUAAUUUCUGAGACCCUAAGCCAGGGAUCUGGAGACUGGUUCCAUCGACGGUGAACUGACAGUAAAGGAAAUGCUCAUUGGGAUAAAAAUGGUGGGUAAAUGUGUUGUUUCAGGUAAUGAAGUCUUUAAUAAAGCCUGUGGAUUUUGAGAAUUGCAAUAUGUAAAACUUCCUGGAAGUAGAGCAAAAGAGGGGUACUAUGUAUUCAAAGGUUUUUGGGUUGUUUUUUUUUUAAUUAAAAAAAAAAGUGUG
Molecule: long non-coding RNA, 1000 nt
Filed under: Rattus norvegicus (Norway rat)
Lineage: Eukaryota; Metazoa; Chordata; Mammalia; Rodentia; Muridae
Description: long non-coding RNA NONRATT022128
Source: RNAcentral